UAGGGAAUCUUCCGCAAUGGACGAAAGUCUGACGGAGCAACGCCGCGUGAGUGAUGAAGGCCUUCGGGUCGUAAAACUCUGUUGUUAGGGAAGAACAAGUACCGUUCGAAUAGGGCGGUACCUUGACGGUACCUAACCAGAAAGCCACGGCUAACUACGUGCCAGCAGCCGCGGUAAUACGUAGGUGGCAAGCGUUGUCCGGAAUUAUUGGGCGUAAAGCGCGCGCAGGCGGUCUCUUAAGUCUGAUGUGAAAGCCCACGGCUCAACCGUGGAGGGUCAUUGGAAACUGGGGGACUUGAGUACAGAAGAGGAGAGUGGAAUUCCACGUGUAGCGGUGAAAUGCGUAGAGAUGUGGAGGAACACCAGUGGCGAAGGCGGCUCUCUGGUCUGUAACUGACGCUGAGGCGCGAAAGCGUGGGGAGCAAACAGGAUUAGAUACCCCCGUAGUCC
RNAcentral lists this ribosomal RNA (450 nucleotides) under uncultured prokaryote. RNAcentral describes it as "bacterial SSU rRNA". It matches the Rfam family "Bacterial small subunit ribosomal RNA", at positions 355 to 796 of the family's 1533-position model. The record is from RNAcentral.